GUACUAAGUGGCGGGACGAAACAAGCCCUUCCACACGCUGCCCACCCCUGCGGAGGGUCAGCUGGAUUGUGCAGGACGGGGAUCGACGGGCCGGGCCAGGACCCGAGACUUGAACCCGGAUCCUCCAGAGUGGAAAGCCGAAGCGUUUCCACGCGGCCAAUCCGGACAGAAUCUGGGCUUAUGACUGCAAAUAAUAAUUUGGAGUUUCUGAAUAAUGAAAUUGGAAUGAUUUUAAGAAUUGGAGUAUAUAUUAUAAAUGCUAUAUUUUUGAUUUGGAUGAUGAUAGAAGAAACGGAUCAGAGUAAAGAAAUCGGAAAAGUUAUUAAAAAUCUGCAGAACUACGAACAAGAAGUGCGAACGGUUAUAAAAGAAAUCUUUGGAUGGAAUUCGAAAUAGAUGAUCAGUAAUAUGCUGGAAAAUAGAAUACAAAGCCAUGGUUUUAAAAACAUGAAAAUUUCUAUGACCAUAAAAUUUUAAAAAUACAAUUAAUUCUCAUUAUCCGCGAUAGUUACGUACUGAAAAGUUCUUCCCGAAUACUGAAUUAGCGAAUAGUGAACCAUUGUGCCGAUGGAAAAUAUGGAAUCCUGCGAACAUUUCUUCCCAACAUUUUCAUCCUUGCUUUGUGUAUAUUUUUCUGUUUAAAGAU
RNAcentral lists this long non-coding RNA (646 nucleotides) under Androctonus crassicauda. The record is from RNAcentral. Lineage: Eukaryota; Metazoa; Arthropoda; Arachnida; Scorpiones; Buthidae.